CCUACGGGAGGCAGCAGUGGGGAAUAUUGCACAAUGGGCGCAAGCCUGAUGCAGCGACGCCGCGUGAGGGAUGACGGCCUUCGGGUUGUAAACCUCUUUCAGUAGGGAAGGAGCGAAAGUGACGGUACCUGCAGAAGAAGCGCCGGCUAACUACGUGCCAGCAGCCGCGGUAAUACGUAGGGCGCAAGCGUUAUCCGGAAUUAUUGGGCGUAAAGAGCUCGUAGGCGGUUUGUCGCGUCUGCCGUGAAAGUCCGGGGCUCAACUCCGGAUCUGCGGUGGGUACGGGCAGACUAGAGUGAUGUAGGGGAGACUGGAAUUCCUGGUGUAGCGGUGAAAUGCGCAGAUAUCAGGAGGAACACCGAUGGCGAAGGCAGGUCUCUGGGCAUUAACUGACGCUGAGGAGCGAAAGCAUGGGGAGCGAACAGGAUUAGAUACCCUGGUAGUCCAUGCCGUAAACGUUGGGCACUAGGUGUGGGGGACAUUCCACGUUUUCCGCGCCGUAGCUAACGCAUUAAGUGCCCCGCCUGGGGAGUCGGCCGCAAGGCUAAAACUCAAANAGAUGAGNGNGAGAGNGCGAGCGACGACGAGGGAGGAGG
Molecule: ribosomal RNA, 596 nt
Filed under: uncultured bacterium
Lineage: Bacteria
Description: bacterial SSU rRNA
Rfam family: Bacterial small subunit ribosomal RNA
Source: RNAcentral